Plutella xylostella (diamondback moth) is the source of this 1843-nucleotide long non-coding RNA. RefSeq lists it as uncharacterized. The record is from RefSeq and is a predicted model, not a curated record. Lineage: Eukaryota; Metazoa; Arthropoda; Insecta; Lepidoptera; Plutellidae.
AAGAAAGAAAGAAAAUUUAUUUAUUUCUAACACACACAGAAACAACACAUACAUUUACAAGAAAAAGUUUAUAAAGUAAAUAAAAAAAUAAGUAAUUAAAAGAAUGUUGCUUCUCGGUGCUGAAAUGGGUUCUAGUUCAGCUUGAUGCUAUGGCAGGUACUAAACCACACCAUAGCGCUGGUUUUCAACUAGAACCCCUGGGUGAAGUCACGGACUGACUUGACAUACAAAAAAAAAAACAUAAAAAAUAACAAACAGAAUAAAAAACAGUAACAUAUACUUAUAUGCUUAAACAAAGCGUCUCGGUCGUCGCGUCGAGACCAUAAAACUAAUAAUUAGGUCAAAGGGGGACGGGCGGGGGAAGGGAGGGCAAGCGCGCUUCUGCCUCGCGGCGCGUCGAGCCUUUUUCAGUCUGAAAAUGUCUCCCACGGCCGGAGCACGUCCGUGCGGCCAGCACCCCACCCCCCGCGGAGCCCCGAAGCGCCCGCGCAACCAGUUUUUCAACUUUGCCACUGGUAAACAAUGUGUGCAACAAGUAGUUAAUACGCUUGUUUUGCGUGUAGUAGUGAAGGAGACCGACUAGUUACAUACUUUAAACUAUGAAUUGCUACGCAGAGCAUACACAGAGUACAAUUGGAAACUAUAAACCAUGGUGAGAUUGAUAUUUUGUCAAAGUGCACUACUUUGUCAAUUUUUUGGGUAUAAGUACCUACGCUAUAUAAUGGUUUACGUUGGCUGACUACUUCAAAAUACCUACAUCUUUUCUUUGCCUACCAAGCUUCAAAUGGCUUUAUACCUACCAUGCACGGAGUGCGGCUGCUUUGCAAGGCUUGGAGGCUGUGCUCGCUUGGGACAACUUUACCUUCUGGCUUAUCGUGAUAAACAUAAAGGCACGUAUCGGAGGGGGCAAGUUGUUCCAGCACUUACUAGCAGCAUACUUGAAGGAACCACGGAAUGCUGCUGUUUUGAAGCUUGGCGUCACCAGCAUAUACGAAGAAGCACGCGUGUUAUGCCUGUUGUGAGUACUAGACCAGUCUAAUUUAGUAUAGAGGUAGUCAGGAGAACGUGUUUUAAUAAUUUUAAAUAAUAGGGUUGCAAAAUGUAGUUGUCUUCUGGCCUGUAAUUUUAACAAAUUUGAAUUAUUGAGGUAAGGGGUAACAUGCGCGCGUGGAGCUAUGUUGAAGCAAAAACGAGCGCACGCAUUUUGCACCCUUUGAAUAAGUUUCUGCGUUCGCGCCAGUAGACAUGGGCCGUAUACUGUGUCUGCAUAGUUAAGUUUAGAAAGAAUUAAUGUUUCGCAAACUUUUAUUCUUAGGUCUGUGUUUAGGUAAGGACGAAUAUUGUAAAGUAUUUUGAUCUUAUAAAAACAAUUUCUUAUAAUGUCUAACAGAUGCGACUCAAAACGAAGAUGUUGAUCAAACUUUACUCCUAAAUUGCGUGCUUCUCGCACACGCUCUAUACUGUUUCCUUUAAUUCUUAUAUCUGGCUGUAGGUUUUCAAUAUUUUCAAUCUGUUUUUUACUUCCUAUUAUCAUAAAUUUUGAUUUCAAGGGGUUAAGGACCAAAGAGUUCCUUGACGACCAGUCCGCUACGCGGUCUAAAUCAUCAUUUAUUUUUUGUAUAACUGACUCAAAAUUGUCCGGUGAACACGAUAAAUAUAAUUGUAAAUCAUCGGCGUAUAUAUGGUAGUUGCAAUUGUUUAUGAUUUUUGUAAUAUCGGUACAGUAUAGAAUAAAAAGUAUAGGGCCAAGUAUGGAACCUUGCGGAACUCCUCGGUUAACAGGAAAAGGACAAGACUUCACAGUAAUACCAUCACUUCUUCUUAGCUCCACUAUCUGUGAUCU